RNAcentral lists this transfer RNA (69 nucleotides) under Heterocephalus glaber (naked mole-rat). It matches the Rfam family "tRNA". From Rfam's summary of the family: Transfer RNA (tRNA) molecules are approximately 80 nucleotides in length. Their secondary structure includes four short double-helical elements and three loops (D, anti-codon, and T loops). The record is from Rfam by way of RNAcentral. Lineage: Eukaryota; Metazoa; Chordata; Mammalia; Rodentia; Bathyergidae.
UCCAUAUUGGGUCAGUAGAACAUGAGACUCUUAAUCUCAGGGUUGUGGGUUCAUGCCCCACAUUGGGUG